ACUUAAAAAUAUUGCUUGUCGAUUUUCUGUGCAAAUGUUCGUCGAUGUCGGUGAUUCUACUCAUCUUCGCUUUUCUUCGGCUUGAUAAUCCGUAUCGAUGAUUAAUUGCGCUUAGGCUGUUAUCGUAACCUCAUGUAAAUAAUUCCGAGAAAAACAGUAAUAAUAAUGUUCAUUGAUGCUUCAUUUGCGCCUUAAUGCUUCAAGAUAAGAAGAAAAAAAUAAUGGGAACAACUAUCCAUAUUCGUAAUGUCAUCAUUCAAAAUAUAAUUUGGCUCUAGAAAUACAAACUUGACUUUCGAUUGGGCAUAUUCACUGCAUUCCAGGCCGAGGAACUCCCAGUGCAUUAUGUUAUGCUUGACUCUACCUAUACAUGCAUCAAAGAUUAAAGCAGAAGAGGAAGAAAUCGGUAAAAGACAUAAAAAAAAUUGUAAUGAAAUUGUAAAAAGAGUAAUGAUACAUGAAUCAAUCAUCUCAUAUAAUGUCGAUUCAUAUAUAAUCACGAGAAUUAAUUAUAACUAAUUAAAUAAUGAUGGAUGACGAUUUAAAAGCUGUGAUAAUUUUUUUUCUCUAGAAGAAUAUUAAUAUUGUGUAAAACAAAGUAAAGCUUCGGUUUAUUAUGUGACAAAAUCCACAUAUUCAUAAUUUUUAAUAAUAAAAUUUAAAAAAAAUCUGAAAGUCAGCAAGGAAAUCUAUUGAGCAAUAAUGUAAAACUCGCAUACAAAUUUAUUUAUUAUACCAUUUUGUUAAACAUAAUAGUAAAUACAACAAAGAUUUUAGCCGGUUCGAUAUAUAAAUUAAAAAGUCAAAUAAAAUGAAUACAGACUGUAGUCAAUCCCGAAGUAAACAUUGCCUUCGCUUUAUCUUAACUCCAUAUCUCUACGCGAUAAAAGUUUUUGCUAUUGAUUUUGUAUGUCCAUGCAGCUGCUGCGAAAAUCUGUAUUAUCGGAGUCGAUUCAUUCAUUUGUUUAAAAUAUACAAAUUAACUGUAGAAAUUUUUGUUUGGAUUUCGGCUUUCAAAUUUCUAUCAUUGAUAUUUUAUCCAAAUUCAAGUUGCGGAUCUGUUUUUCUUUUAUUUCCGGAAAAUCCGAGAUUGACGGCGGCUCUUGCCUUUAUUUUAUCUCUGUAUACUGCUAUGCAAAUAAGUAUGGUUAAUAGAAGAAAAUUAUCUCUUCAUUUGAUUAAAAGUAGUUACGACGGUGAAUUAGAAUGGGCCGAGCGAAGAAAACAUUACAUGUUAUCUUUCUAUGUUUCUUAUGUUUUCUGUAAUGUGGUCUGUUCUUUCCACAAUUGUAGCUUAUGCCAAACUAAAAGAUGGUAAUGCUAGUGAAAUGAAAGCCAUCGGUUGUACUCUGUCGAUUUCAAUUUGGUUGUUUUAUCUCAGUGGUCAAAGUUUGUCAUUAUUGGCUUGCAGUAAUAUUAUAGGUGUAUUAAUAAGAAGAAGAUUGAUCUGGAGGCACGGCAGUGCCGCCGCCAAGUCGAGCAGUACGGCCGUACCAUCCUUUUCUGGAAGCAACC
Molecule: long non-coding RNA, 1515 nt
Filed under: Androctonus crassicauda
Lineage: Eukaryota; Metazoa; Arthropoda; Arachnida; Scorpiones; Buthidae
Source: RNAcentral